AUCUUCAGGGCAAAACAUGAUUUAUUUUAAAAUGCAUUUUACUUAAUAUUACAGUAACACAUUAUUUUGUAACGUGUUACUAAAGUUACUACUUUGUAACUCUGGUUACAACUGACUCCACUCUCCCCUAGUUCAGUAAUAAUAGUGGAUGUAGUAAAAUACUUAAAGUUAAUCACAGUACAAAAAGUAUCAGAGAAAGCGGAAACCAUGCACCUGGCAACCCUAGCUCCGUUUCCACCUACGCACGCACGCGCAUAAAUUGCACGCACUUGCCUACUAUUAAUGAAUCCCUUAACACAUGCACUGUUAACAGCACAUGAAAAACGAUUUACUUCUGAGUUUGCUGACAAAACAGUGUAAGUAGUGAAAGAAAAUGUAGGCCUGCAAUAUUCUGCUUUUUUCUUUCUUUAUUUUUUAAAAUCUUUUCUUUCUUUCUUUCUUUUUUCAUAUGGACAUUGGGCAAACAAGAAUCAAUUUGCGGUCAUUCUCGUUUUGUCCACUAGGUGGCAGUAGGUAACGAUUUCGUGGUGAAAUGGUACAGAAGAAGAACUGUAGUCAAAACGUGAAUUCUUCAUCAACACAAACCACUCGCUUGGGAGUCAUGAGCUGCUUGUGGAUGUGUAAUCCCAGGAGAUUCAAGCUAAAAAUAGCUAAUGGGAAGCAAGGAGAUAACAGAAAUGAGAGUGCAUAUUUUGAUCUCAGCUGCUCUCAGCCAUACAUGUGACAACAAACAGUACUUUGAUUUCAACUGCUCGCAGUCGUUCACAAAUAACCAUAACCAAUAGUAUCAGCAGUGCCUUAACUACUACUCAAACUGGGGAUAUGAUCAGAGCGCAGGCCACCGGUCAUAACACUGCUAUAAUUAGGUUUGUGAAGAUACAAGUGAAGAUGAUUGGCUUGAAGACCCCAGUUUAGACUUGGAUGUGGUAGAAACAAACAGACAGUUCAUGGUGGACAGUAAGGAGCUCUACGUGCCCUUAUAGACUGCCAUUGGCCUCCUUUUGAAUUUCCGGACUCUCUUGAAUACCCUUCUGAAUACUCCAUAGAAUGAAUAGACAGACUGUGUAUCCUCUUGUAUGAUAGAAGACUAAUGUGGUCCCUUCAGAAGAUCCCGUGUGAAGGUUUGAGAAUGGAGUUUUAAGCCAUCUUCUCCAGUGCCCUCAGAAAUGGGAGUGAGUUGAAACAACAGAUAUCUGAAACCUCCAGAUUUUGUUAUGGUGGUGGGUGUAUUAUUGUCUGCUGACCAUGUUAAAGGGUAUUUCAUACUGAAAUUGCUUUUUGUCAGAUCAGAUGAUGUUUGCCCCAAACAUCCUUUGUACUAUUGCCAUUAUCAUUAUUGUAAACAAUAAGAGUCUUUCAGGAUUUUAUUCUAUAGAACUUGUUGAUUUUUCUGCACUGUUCUGUUGGUGUUCCUAAGGCAAAUAUGUUAAAAGAAUGGUUUCUUGUUUUUUGUAAAAUCAUCAUUGUCAUGAAGUCUGCUCUAUCGGUGUUGUUGCAACUAAUUGUACCUCCAGGGCCUUCAACUUUUCUGUCCAACCUCCUCUGCUAUAAAUCAUCACUUAUGUUUAUUCCCCACAGUUAAUUUACCACACAACCUGCAGCAAGAUAAUUUAUCAUUAGUAUGAUGGGUAGCUGAUUAACUGAAACCAGUGGUUUCACCAGUGAUCGUAGAUACAUAGCAUGUUUUUCAUUCUCUGAUUUCUACUAGAGCAUCAGCAUGAUCUAGCAUCAAACACAUUGCCAUAAUAUAUUCUCAAAUUGUAAUACUUCCUUUGAAACCUACAUCUGUAUGUAUCCCUGGUUAUGGGUAAAAAUGUGUUGUCUGUGUGCCUUUCUUAUUAUAUUACCUCCUCCACAGAGUUUUUAGACUGAUGGUAUUCUUAGCCCAUAAACCAGUAUCAAGAUGUAUGUAUUGAUGGAGACUUCAAAUCACUUCUUUAAGUUGCUCUGAAUAAGAACAUCUGUAAAAUGGCAUAAAUGUAAAUGGAUAAUUGUAUGCUAUUGGCUUGCUGAGUUUGAGGUGUUGCUAUUUCCAGCUACAACAAUUGUCUUUUACUUAUAUUGCCUAUGAAUACAAUUUAGAAAUGCUGACUUGUUAAAGUGGACAAAUUUCAAAAUGGGAUCUAUAAUAAAUACAUUAAUAUUUUAAAUUACGUCUAACCAGCAAACCUCUAUUGGGGACCAGCUCUGGGAUAUUUAUGAAAGAUGUGGGCUGUAAGCUUACAGAAAUACCUUAGAGCAAGACCUUAAAACAUUCUGGAUCAUUGUUUAUCUUGCUAAUAUUUUAGUGUAGUUUCCUUAGAAGUGAACACGUAUGCAGAAACUGCAUGGACAUUUAUGUUAGCUGACUUGCACUGGACAAUAUUCAUUUUGGUAUGUGAGAAAAGGAAAAUCAUAUUUUCUAUUUUCACAGCACA
Ictalurus furcatus (blue catfish) is the source of this 2417-nucleotide long non-coding RNA. RefSeq lists it as uncharacterized. The transcript has 5 exons. NCBI's taxonomy places the organism in Eukaryota, Metazoa, Chordata, Actinopteri, Siluriformes, Ictaluridae. The record is from RefSeq and is a predicted model, not a curated record.